UCUGACUGCACUAACCAUGCCUAGGAAGGAAAGGAGUUGUUGUUUUGUAAAGGAUUGAGGUUUGGAAGAUUAAUCGGACACGGUCAGCAGGGAGAGCACUUGUGUUUUUAUGAGAAUUAUGCCGAGAUAGGUAACAGAUGAGGAUGAAAUUUGGGCUUGACUGAAGUAAUGGGGGCUGUCUGUGAAGCCCUGUGGCAGUACAGCCCAGGUAAUUUGCUGAGCCUAAUGGGUGUCAGGGUCAGUCUAAGUGAAAGCAAAGAGAGGCUUGGAUGAAGGGUGCAAAGGAAUAGUAAAGAAAGCAUGUGUGAGACCCAGAACAAAAUAAUGGGUAGUAGAGUGAGGUAUUGAGGAUAGGAGAGUAUAUGGGUUUGGCACCACGGGGUGGAUAGGCAAAACAAUUUGGUUGAUAAGGCUAAGAUUCUGAACUAACUCGUAAGCCUUGUCCAGUUUUAGGACAGGUAAAAUAGGGGAAUGGUAAGGAGAGUUCAUAGGCUUUAAAAGGCCAUGCUGUAGCAGGCGAGUGAUAACAGGCUUUAAUCAUUUUAAAGAGUGCUGUGGGAUGGGAUCUUGGCAUUGAGCGGGGUAAGGGGGAUUAGGUUUUAAUGAGAUAGUAAGGGGUGCAUGAUCGGUCGCCAAGGAGGGAGGAGAGGUAUCUUAUACUUGUGGGUUAAGGUGGGGGGAUUCAAGAGGAGAAUACAAAGGAGGCUUUGGAUUGGGAAAAAGGGUGGCAAUGAGAUGCAGCUGUAGUCCAGGAAUAGUCAGGGAAGCAGAUACUUUAGUUAAAGUGUCUCAUCCUAAUAAGGGAACUGGGCAGGUGGGGAUAACUAAAAAGGAGUGCUUAAAAGAGUAUUGUCUAAGUUGGCACCAGAGUUGGGGAGUUUUAAGAGGUUUAGAAGCCUGGCCGUCAAUACCCACAACAGUUAUGGAGGCAAGGGAAACAGGCCCUUGAAAAGAAGGUAAUGUGGAGUGGGUAGCCUCCGUAUUGAUUAAGAAGGGGACGGACUUACCCUCCACUCUGAGAGUUACCCGAAGCUCGGCAUCUGUAAUUGUCUACAGGGCUUCCAAGGCGAUCGGGCAGCGUCAGUCUUCAGCCGCUAAGCUGAGAAGAUCUGGGAAGGAGUCAGAGAGCCUUGGGCCAGAGUUCCAGGGGCUUUGGAAGUGGCUACCAGGAGGUGUGUCUCUCGGCGCUUGGGCCUCUCUGGGAUGAAAGUUUUAAGUGCACACGAAGGCUUUGCCAAGCUCUCUCUUCCUGAUGCCAUGAUGACUAUGAACAGCAGCUCCGUGGCCUGGAUCCAGAGGGAGGACAAUGACACCGUGAUGUAUAAUGUGAACAAGAAAUAAAUCUUUACUGUUUGAGCCAUUGAGAC
Molecule: long non-coding RNA, 1367 nt
Filed under: Homo sapiens (human)
Lineage: Eukaryota; Metazoa; Chordata; Mammalia; Primates; Hominidae
Description: HSALNT0023407
Source: RNAcentral